CUCCCACAGCCUGAAUGAGCUUGGGAACUGAUUCUUCCACCCAGAGCCUCCAGAUAAGAACCCAGCCAAGCCCACAAGGACCUCUGACUUACAAAAUGCCAUGUUCUAUCUGCUGUUUUUGAAUCUGCUCUUCAGAAUCUACUCCUCUGCUCUGAACACACCCUGGGAGGAGGACAAUGAAAUUGAUGUUAUCAAUCAAGCGUUCCCAAAGGCUCAUGGGCUAUUAGCAAAGCAAAAGGGAGCGUCAGUGUCUCAGCCUCAGGAUCACCACCUGCUGCAGGAAGCCGGAACGGAACCAGCAGGCGUUGGCCUUGCACUGUGUCUUUGAGAAAAAGCCUGAGAGCGCGCUGAGGACUGAAAACAACCAGCAUGACAUGACCAUUUAAAAAAGAAAUCCUGGAGCAUUCCAGAAACAUGAAGACAAGCUCAGUACUGUGCAGCCGAAGGAAAGAUCUCCUCUGGGACUAGUUCACGGAGAGGAGAGAAAUGACUCAUGUGAAGUGGC
Molecule: long non-coding RNA, 505 nt
Organism: Manis pentadactyla (Chinese pangolin)
Lineage: Eukaryota; Metazoa; Chordata; Mammalia; Pholidota; Manidae
Exons: 3
Source: RefSeq, a predicted model, not a curated record